RNAcentral lists this ribosomal RNA (311 nucleotides) under uncultured bacterium. RNAcentral describes it as "bacterial SSU rRNA". It matches the Rfam family "Bacterial small subunit ribosomal RNA", at positions 28 to 334 of the family's 1533-position model. The record is from RNAcentral.
GACGAACGCUGGCGGCGCGCCUAACACAUGCAAGUCGAACGAGCGAGUAGAGAGUUUGCUUUCUCGAGCGAGUGGCGAACGGGUGAGUAACGCGUGAGGAACCUGCCUCAAAGAGGGGGACAACAGUUGGAAACGACUGCUAAUACCGCAUAAGCCCACAGCUCGGCAUCGAGCAGAGGGAAAGGAGUGAUCCGCUUUGAGAUGGCCUCGCGUCCGAUUAGCUGGUUGGUGAGGUAACGGCCCACCAAGGCGACGAUCGGUAGCCGGACUGAGAGGUUGAACGGCCACAUUGGGACUGAGACACGGCCCAG